RNAcentral lists this ribosomal RNA (440 nucleotides) under uncultured bacterium. Its description in RNAcentral is "partial 16S ribosomal RNA". It matches the Rfam family "Bacterial small subunit ribosomal RNA", at positions 338 to 795 of the family's 1533-position model. The record is from RNAcentral.
CCUACGGGAGGCAGCAGUGGGGAAUAUUGCACAAUGGGGGAAACCCUGAUGCAGCGAAGCCGCGUGAGUGAAGAAGGAAUUAGUUAUGUAAAGCUCUAUCAGCAGGGAAGAAAAUGACGGUAACUGAGUAAGAAGCCCCGGCUAACUACGUGCCAGCAGCCGAGGUAAUACGUAGGGGGCAAGCGUUAUCCGGAUUUACUGAGUGUAAAGGGAGCGUAGACGGCAGUGCAAGUCUGGAGUUAAAGGCGGAGGCUCAACCCCCGGACUGCUCUGGAAACUGUACGGCUGGAGUGCAGGAGAGGUAAGUGGAAUUCCUAGUGUAGCGGUGAAAUGCGUAGAUAUUAGGAGGAACACCAGUGGCGAAGGCGGCUGACUGGACUGUAACUGACGUUGAGGCUCGAAAGCGUGGGGAGCAAACAGGAUUAGAUACCCUUGUAGUC